UGGGGUGUAGCCAAGCGGUUAAGGCACGGGGCUUUGACUCCCGCAUUCGCUGGUUCGAUCCCAGCCACCCCAG
This 73-nucleotide transfer RNA is filed under the name Clostridiales bacterium. RNAcentral's name for it is "tRNA-Gln". It matches the Rfam family "tRNA". Rfam says of the family: Transfer RNA (tRNA) molecules are approximately 80 nucleotides in length. Their secondary structure includes four short double-helical elements and three loops (D, anti-codon, and T loops). Lineage: Bacteria; Bacillati; Bacillota; Clostridia; Eubacteriales. RNAcentral also lists the same sequence under 2 other names. The record is from RNAcentral.